GAUAGCCAAAAAUCCGAAGUGGAUUGAGUGUUGGAUGAUUGAUUACCCUGACGUUUCCACCGCCACCUACCCAAGGAUCAAACAGUCCACCCCAAAACAUUGCCUUCGCAACCAAAAGCCAAGCACCCACGCCUAAAAUCACUAGGUGAAUGCCUAAGAUUGUGGUCAUCUUAUCUUUGUCUUUCCA
RNAcentral lists this antisense RNA (187 nucleotides) under Fischerella thermalis JSC-11. RNAcentral describes it as "Fischerella sp. JSC-11 Antisense RNA which regulates isiA expression". It matches the Rfam family "Antisense RNA which regulates isiA expression". Lineage: Bacteria; Bacillati; Cyanobacteriota; Cyanophyceae; Nostocales; Hapalosiphonaceae. The record is from Rfam by way of RNAcentral.